CCCUUAGAUGUUCUGGGCUGCACGCGCGCUACACUGAAGCGUUCAACGAGUAUUCACCUUGCCCGGGAGGGUUGGGUAAUCUUUUGAAAACGCUUCGUGAUGGGGAUAGAUUAUUGCAAUUAUUAAUCUUCAACGAGGAAUUCCUAGUAAGCGCGAAUCAUCAGUUCGCGUUGAUUACGUCCCUGCCCUUUGUACACACCGCCCGUCGCUCCUACCGAUUGAAUGGUCCGGUGAAAAUUUCGGAUAGUGACGAUGCUGGCGGUUCGCCGCCGGCGCUGUCGCUAGAAGAUCUUUAAACCUUAUCAUUUAGAGGAAGGAGAAGUCGUAACA
RNAcentral lists this ribosomal RNA (330 nucleotides) under uncultured eukaryote. Its description in RNAcentral is "partial 18S ribosomal RNA". It matches the Rfam family "Eukaryotic small subunit ribosomal RNA", at positions 1470 to 1796 of the family's 1831-position model. The record is from RNAcentral.